This 77-nucleotide transfer RNA is filed under the name Prevotella sp. ne3005. RNAcentral's name for it is "tRNA_Cys_GCA". It matches the Rfam family "tRNA". From Rfam's summary of the family: Transfer RNA (tRNA) molecules are approximately 80 nucleotides in length. Their secondary structure includes four short double-helical elements and three loops (D, anti-codon, and T loops). Further hydrogen bonds mediate the characteristic L-shaped molecular structure. tRNAs have two regions of fundamental functional importance: the anti-codon, which is responsible for specific mRNA codon recognition, and the 3' end, to which the tRNAs corresponding amino acid is attached (by aminoacyl-tRNA synthetases). tRNAs cope with the degeneracy of the genetic code in two manners: having more than one tRNA (with a specific anti-codon) for a particular amino acid; and 'wobble' base-pairing, i.e. permitting non-standard base-pairing at the 3rd anti-codon position. Lineage: Bacteria; Pseudomonadati; Bacteroidota; Bacteroidia; Bacteroidales; Prevotellaceae. The record is from RNAcentral.
GUGAGGAUGUCCGAGUGGUUUAAGGGGGCGGUCUGCAAAACCGUCAUUCAUCGGUUCGAAUCCGAUUCCUCACUCAA